RNAcentral lists this ribosomal RNA (426 nucleotides) under Triticum aestivum (bread wheat). RNAcentral's name for it is "partial small subunit ribosomal RNA". The record is from RNAcentral. Lineage: Eukaryota; Viridiplantae; Streptophyta; Magnoliopsida; Poales; Poaceae.
CUCUCCAAGUAGGUCCUCGUUCAGGUGGCCUCACUAGAGACGUCGCAUGCGAUAUGGACGGCGCUGUCCACCAUGUUCGCUGUAGUCUCUCUCGCGCGCGCCAACAACCUUCGUGCCGCCCUCACCAACAACCAAAAGGGCACGUAGUCUGCCUCAACAUACUUCGGCUACAUGCGAUCUCUCAGAGAUGAGCUCGCGGCGGUCGAGAAACCCAUCGGAGAACCGGAGCUCAUCACAUUCAUCGUGUCCGGCCUCGACAUGGAGUACCAACCACUGAUCUCGGCGCUUGAUGUCCGCACCGAGCCCGUCACGGUGGACCUCCUCUUCUCCCUCGUGUCCAACUUCGACCAGCGGGUAGAACUCUACCAUGGUUAUGGUUCUAGAGGCUUCAAAUCUUCAGCAAACUUUGCAUCUCGCGGCAGGUAG